RNAcentral lists this ribosomal RNA (328 nucleotides) under uncultured bacterium. RNAcentral's name for it is "bacterial SSU rRNA". It matches the Rfam family "Bacterial small subunit ribosomal RNA", at positions 28 to 364 of the family's 1533-position model. The record is from RNAcentral.
AUUGAACGCUGGCGGCAUGCCUUACACAUGCAAGUCGAACGGCAGCGCGGGACAAUCCUGGCGGCGAGUGGCGAACGGGUGAGUAAUAUAUCGGAACGUGCCCAGUAGUGGGGGUACCGGCCGAAGACGCGUAUACGCUGGACCUCAGGGUGGAAGACGGGGGUCGCAGACCUCGCGCUAUUGGUGGCGGCCGAUAUCAGAUUAGCUAGUUGGUUGGGGUAAAGGCCGUACCAAGGCACGAUCUGUAGUUGGUCUGAGAGGACGACCAGCCACACUGGGACGUGAGACACGGCCCACGACUCCUACGGGAGGCAGCAGUGGGGAAGUU